GCAGCAGCCGCGGGAAUGCGGAGGGGGCUAGCGUUGUUCGGAAUUACUGGGCGUAAAGCGCACGUAGGCGGCUUUUUAAGUCAGAGGUGAAAGCCCGGGGCUCAACUCCGGAACUGCCUUUGAGACUGGAAGGCUUGAACGUCGGAGAGGUGAGUGGAAUUCCGAGUGUAGAGGUGAAAUUCGUAGAUAUUCGGAAGAACACCAGUGGCGAAGGCGGCUCACUGGACGACUGUUGACGCUGAGGUGCGAAAGCGUGGGGAGCAAACAGGAUUAGAUACCCGAGUAGUCCCUGUCUCUUAUAC
Molecule: ribosomal RNA, 302 nt
Filed under: uncultured bacterium
Lineage: Bacteria
Description: partial 16S ribosomal RNA
Rfam family: Bacterial small subunit ribosomal RNA
Source: RNAcentral